Schistocephalus solidus is the source of this 83-nucleotide non-coding RNA. The record is from Rfam. NCBI's taxonomy places the organism in Eukaryota, Metazoa, Platyhelminthes, Cestoda, Diphyllobothriidea, Diphyllobothriidae.
GGCCUCGUAGCUCAGUUGGCUAGAGCGUUGACUGGACUAAAGCCUUCCCCUUGCUGGCGUGGGUUCCAAUCCCAACAAGGCCU